UUCCUACGGGGCGCAGCAGUGAGGAAUAUUGGUCAAUGGGCUUACGCCUGAACCAGCAACGCCGCGUGAGGGAAGACGGUUUUCGGAUUGUAAACCUCUGUCCUCUGUGAAGAUGAUGACGGUAGCAGAGGAGGAAGCUCCGGCUAACUACGUGCCAGCAGCCGCGGUAAUACGUAGGGAGCAAGCGUUGUCCGGAUUUACUGGGUGUAAAGGGUGCGUAGGCGGCUUUGCAAGUCAGAAGUGAAAUCCAUGGGCUUAACCCAUGAACUGCUUUUGAAACCGCAGAGCUUGAGUGGAGUAGAGGU
This 305-nucleotide ribosomal RNA is filed under the name uncultured bacterium. RNAcentral's name for it is "bacterial SSU rRNA". It matches the Rfam family "Bacterial small subunit ribosomal RNA", at positions 336 to 658 of the family's 1533-position model. The record is from RNAcentral.